GUUUCUGAUUUAUCAGAAAAACCAAUAUUACACACUUCUGUUUUUUCGACAUUUAGUAAAUAUCAGUAAAUUUUUGUGCAGAUGUUCGAUGGAAUAGCAACUAUUGUCUAGGUGUCAUUU
Long non-coding RNA from Sphaeramia orbicularis (orbiculate cardinalfish), 120 nucleotides. RefSeq lists it as uncharacterized. Lineage: Eukaryota; Metazoa; Chordata; Actinopteri; Kurtiformes; Apogonidae. The record is from RefSeq and is a predicted model, not a curated record. The transcript has 3 exons.